GCUAGUUGAGCGUCUCUUGCUAUGGUGAGACGCGGCGAACAGCUCAGUAACACGUGGCCAACCUGCCCUUGGGACGGGGACAACCCCGGGAAACUGGGGCUAAUAUCCGAUAAGUGAGAAAAUCUGGAAUGAUUUCUUGCUGAAAGGGUUUCUAGACCAUGCUUUUAGAUGUCGCCCAAGGAGGGGGCCGCGGCCGAUCAGGUUGUUGGCGGGGUAACGGCUCACCAAGCCUUUGACCGGUACGGGCCGUGAGAGCGGGAGCCCGGAGAUGGACAAUGAGAUAAGGGUCCAGGCCCUACGGGGCGCAGCAGUCGCGAAAACUCCACAAUUCACGAAAGUGUGACGGGGCCAACCCGAGUGCCGUCCGAUAAGGAUGGCUUUUCCUCAGUGUAAGGAGCUGGGGGAAUAAGGAGGGGGCAAGACUGGUGUCAGCCGCCGCGGUAAUACCAGCCCUCCGAGUGGUGGGGACGCUUAUUGGGCCUAAAGCAUUCGUAGCCGGCUGGGCAAGUCCUCCGUUAAAUCCAACGAUUCAAUCGUCGGACUGCGGGGGAUACUGUCUAGCUAGGAGGCGGGAGAGGCCGACGGUAUUUUCGGGGUAGGGGUGAAAUCCUAUAAUCCCGGGAGGACCAUCAGUGGCGAAGGCUGUCGGCUGGAACGCGCUCGACGGUGAGGGAUGAAAGCUGGGGGGAGCGAACCGGAUUAGAUACCCGGGUAGUCCCAGCUGUAAACUCUGCA
Molecule: ribosomal RNA, 735 nt
Filed under: uncultured Bathyarchaeota archaeon
Lineage: Archaea; Thermoproteati; Candidatus Bathyarchaeota
Description: bacterial SSU rRNA
Rfam family: Archaeal small subunit ribosomal RNA
Source: RNAcentral